AGCCCUAAGUGGGUGGUAAACUCCAUCUAAGGCUAAAUAUGACCACGAGACCGAUAGCGAACAAGUACCGUGAGGGAAAGUUGAAAAGCACUUUGAAGAGAGAGUUCAAGAGUACGUGAAACCGUUUAGGGGUAAACCUGAGAAACCCGAAAGGUCGAAGGGAGAAAUUCAUUCGCGUUUCGCCGUCGGCGUGAGACGGUCGAGCGACGGAGAUCGUUUACGUGAUCCGCGCCUUCCGUUUUUCGAUCCUUCGGCGAACGCGUGCACUUUUCUCCUGGUAGGACGUCGCGAUCCGUUGGGCGUCGGUCUACGGCUCACGGUGGAGCCCGGUCGUUCAUUCGAUCGGACCCGUGUGAUUACCCGGCCGGCACGCUCGACGGUAUCGAUAAGGCCGAAGGCCGCUUUUAAAGCGUUCGACUCGUGGCAAGCGCGUCGGAUGUGCUGGCGAUCGGACCUAGUGCCGAUUCUGGCCUCCGGCGACUGUUGGUCGCGAUGCUCUCGGACAGACCUUCCGUGGCCGAUCUGCGACGCUAUAGCUUUGGGUACUUUCAG
RNAcentral lists this ribosomal RNA (552 nucleotides) under Alaocyba sp. CNC COL VG00010826. RNAcentral's name for it is "partial 28S ribosomal RNA". It matches the Rfam family "Eukaryotic large subunit ribosomal RNA", at positions 284 to 645 of the family's 3401-position model. Lineage: Eukaryota; Metazoa; Arthropoda; Insecta; Coleoptera; Brachyceridae. The record is from RNAcentral.